UACGGAGGGUGCGAGCGUUGUCCGGAAUCACUGGGCGUAAAGGGCGCGUAGGCGGUCCGGUAAGCGUGCGGUGAAAGCUUGGGGCUCAACCCCGAGUCGGCCGUGCGAACUGCAGGACUCGAGCACUGUAGAGGCAGGCGGAAUUCCGGGUGUAGCGGUGGAAUGCGUAGAGAUCCGGAAGAACACCGGUGGCGAAGGCGGCCUGCUGGGCAGUGGCUGACGCUGAGGCGCGACAGCGUGGGGAGCAAACAGG
RNAcentral lists this ribosomal RNA (253 nucleotides) under uncultured bacterium. Its description in RNAcentral is "partial 16S ribosomal RNA". It matches the Rfam family "Bacterial small subunit ribosomal RNA", at positions 524 to 776 of the family's 1533-position model. The record is from RNAcentral.